Molecule: ribosomal RNA, 1053 nt
Filed under: Triticum aestivum (bread wheat)
Lineage: Eukaryota; Viridiplantae; Streptophyta; Magnoliopsida; Poales; Poaceae
Description: partial small subunit ribosomal RNA
Source: RNAcentral
AUGGCUCACAACGCGGCCGCCGCAGUUGAUCACGGCGAAGGCAUCCGGACGUCGUCGAGGUGCGUCGUGGAUGGCGCGACACACGAUUUCGUGGUGAUCAACUACCCGCUGCUGGAUGGCAUGUGCAUCCGAAACCGCGUAACCUCCAGCGCGUUCAGGGUCGGCGGCUACGAUUGGAGCAUCAUGUUCUACCCGGACGGAGCGGAAGUAGCCGGCUACGCGUCAGUCUACUUGUGUUGUCUCAGCCAGGCCAAGGACGGGGUGGGGACAAGCUUCACCUUAACCAUGCUGGACGAUCAAGGCAACGUACAUGCAACCAGGCAGAUACCUGGAUUCAUCUUCGGUGAGAAGGAAACCUGGGGCUUUUCCGACUUUGUCGAGAAAUCGAAGCUGAGAUCGUCAUGUAUCCUAACGAUAAGGUGUGUGCUCGCUGUGGUCAAAGAACCACCCUCGGAGUGCAAGGGCAAUCUUAUCGUGGACCCUCCGCCGGAGCUGCCCGGCCGCCUCCACCGCGCCCUCAAGAACGGGAGAGGCACCGACAUCAGGGUCCUCGUGGGGGGCAGGGAGUUCAGAGCGCACAAGUUCAUGCUGGCCGCGCAGUCGCCGGUCUUCGAAGCUCAGCUCUUUGGCCCGAUGGCGCAGAAGGACAUGCGGCGGAUCAUGGUUGUCGACAUGGAGCCGGCCAUCUUCGAGAUGCUUCUUCACUACGUCUACACGGAUUCACUGCCGCCGUGUGGCAAAGACAAUUACGAUACAGCCAGGAUGCAGCAUUUGCUAGUCGCCGCGGACCGGUACGGGCUGGAGAGGUUGAAGGUGAUGUGCGAAAAGAGGCUGUGGGAAAACAUCAACGCGAGCACAGUCAUGAGCACAUUGGCACUAGCAACUCACCACUACUGUGACCAGCUCAAGGAAGCAUGCUUAAAGUUUAUGUCAUCGUCGCAGGAAGUCAUGGAUGCAGUCGUGGUAACCGACGGAUUCCAACACCUCAUGGCAACUUGUCCCAUGCUAGUUUUGAAGCACACCGGGGAAAAAGUAACCAUCAAGAGGAAGUAA